UAGGAACCUCCGCUCAGGUAAAACUGAAUC
RNAcentral lists this non-coding RNA (30 nucleotides) under Rattus norvegicus (Norway rat). The record is from RNAcentral. Lineage: Eukaryota; Metazoa; Chordata; Mammalia; Rodentia; Muridae.